This is a long non-coding RNA of Pan troglodytes (chimpanzee), 1207 nucleotides long. The record is from Ensembl. Lineage: Eukaryota; Metazoa; Chordata; Mammalia; Primates; Hominidae.
CUUUUUUGUGGUAGGCAAGAUGGCUGACCUAUAUCCUGCCAACUUAUCAAGCCCAAUGGAGAGUAAUAGUUUCACUAAUAUUUAUGGUGAAAAGCUAGAGAAGAACUGUUCUGACUGAGAUUACAUGCCACUUGUCCAUUCCUUAACCAAUCUCUUUAGCUAAAGGGAGAAAUACUCGGAUUGAUUGGAUAUGGAGGUCAUGACUACUCUUGUAAUUGAUGAGUGGAGUUAAUAGGGCUAUCUCAGCCACAGAACCACAGGAAAAAGUGCUUCUUAUACUGGAAAGGUCUAUCAUAAUUCUCAAUGUAAUCUGUCAUAGGCCAAUCACCUGACUAUUAUUUACAAUACGAUUUCUAGGCAAGUUUCAUGAUUCAAAUCUCCGGAAAAGGGGAGGCUUUCAGAAGUCAGGAGGUGGAUAAAGUGGUGGUCUGGGUAUACAGACAGGGUCUACUGGAUGCCUUCUAUUUGUAACAGACAAUGCUCACUAUGCCUAGAGCUCCCAUAUUUUUUUUUCUCUUUAAUCUUCAAAACAACUCUGGGAGGUAGAUAUUACUAGUCCUCAUUUUGUGGCUGGGAAAGUAAAUUGCCCAAGUUCACAAGCUUGGUCACAUAAAAAUUGGAGCCCAAUUCUGAACCCAGAUCUAAUUCUGAAAACCAUGUGCUUUUCGACAUAAGGUAAUAUUCUUAGUUGGAAAAUGCUGAUGCCCUGACAAAAGUAGAGGUUUUAUUUUGUUUUCUUUCUUUUGCUUUCCUAUUAAUCAGAACAUGUUACUUGUUAGAGGUCAACUUUGAGAAAGUGACCCAUUUCCAGGGUCCAGGAGCAUGGGUCCCAGAAGGGCUGUGAGAUCAUUAGCAUUGAAAGCAGCAAGAAGGACAAGAAAGGCUUUCAGGUGAUCUCAAGAUGGAAGACCCCCUGUUCCUCUAUAAUCAUAAUAUUCAACGGAUGGAGAUUUGCACUUACUACAUGUACUUGGAGAAGUCAAAUAAUGAACAAUGUAUGUACGACAUCUGGUGGCUCCCAGAUUAUGUUACAUCGACCUUGCCUGGAGUCUGAGCCACAGAGGUUGGUGAUCCUGUUAGCCUGAACCUUUUCUUCUAUUGAAAUCCUACACAGCAUUAACAUGGGUCAGUCUGCCUGUGCUGGCAAGAUGGGAGCUAUUAAAUUUGUCAAAGAUUCCAGUUGUGAUGAAUAUAACAGCCCCAUUUU